Molecule: ribosomal RNA, 451 nt
Filed under: uncultured bacterium
Lineage: Bacteria
Description: bacterial SSU rRNA
Rfam family: Bacterial small subunit ribosomal RNA
Source: RNAcentral
GUGGGGAAUAUUGGACAAUGGGGGGAACCCUGAUCCAGCCAUGCCGCGUGUGUGAAGAAGGCCUUUUGGUUGUAAAGCACUUUAAGCGAGGAGGAGGCUACCGAGAUUAAUACUCUUGGAUAGUGGACGUUACUCGCAGAAUAAGCACCGGCUAACUCUGUGCCAGCAGCCGCGGUAAUUCAGAGGGUGCAAGCGUUAAUCGGAUUUACUGGGCGUAAAGCGCGCGUAGGUGGCCAAUUAAGUCAAAUGUGAAAUCCCCGAGCUUAACUUGGGAAUUGCAUUCGAUACUGGUUGGCUAGAGUAUGGGAGAGGAUGGUAGAAUUCCAGGUGUAGCGGUGAAAUGCGUAGAGAUCUGGAGGAAUACCGAUGGCGAAGGCAGCCAUCUGGCCUAAUACUGACACUGAGGUGCGAAAGCAUGGGGAGCAAACAGGAUUAGAAACCCUUGUAGUCC